CUCCGCUGCAGCCAUCACUGCUGUGCUAGGCAUGGUGGCAUUGGUGAUGGUGGUGGAGUGGACAGGGGUGUCAGCAUGAACCUAGCAUCCCUCUAUCAUUGCACAUGAGUCUGGGUUUAUGUCCUGGCCAUUAUAUGGAGUCUAAGGGCAUCUCUGUGAUGUGUAGACUUUUUCCACACUUAUAAGGAUGUGGGCAGAAGAAAGCAGAAGAAAGACUUCUCUUCUCCAGUCCUCAAAUGAUGCAUAACUAGCAUCCUCUCAUAGUUUCAAGGAGGAGAAAAAAGGCAGACUGAAAUAGAGACAAGGUAUCAUUUGAAAUCGAUUCUAUUCGCUGUCAGUGUAAAGCAAAGCAGAGAUUAAGCAUCUACUCUUCAUUGUGUAACAGUUAUGACUUUGGCUAUGAUAAGUGCAACUCUAUUUUAGUACGUUUCUUUGGUGCCUACAUAUACAAUAAAGGCUCUACUCCACAGCUGCUACACCUUUAAAUGGGUGACAUGUGAAAAAAUUGCUGUCUUGUUUGUGUCAGACAGCCAUUUCCCUCUAAAAUACUUCUUGUUAUUCCAUAUUUAAUAAGUGCCCACUGAGUGCUGGGCAGUGUCCAAGACACAGCCACAGUCCCCGCCCACACACAUGCAUGUGCCAAAGCAAUUUGGCAAUCGGUGCUGUGAUGUGCUUCUCUGACCAUCGUGGAUGGCUUUCUUCUGAUACAAAGAGUGUCAACAGCAACCCAGCUGUAGAUUUCUUCCAAGAAAGCUAUAAAAGAAAUUGAAUGCAUUUUGUUUGCUUAGUGAAUUAUAAAAGAAACCAUAACAAUGACUUGAUAGUACAUAUAAAGACAUUACAAUUGCCAAGUACUUUCACAGCAGCUCUGUGUCAUUGACUCUUACAUUUUUUUUUUUGAGUUAUUCAAGGCAGAUAUUACUAUCUCCCUUAUCCUCUGAGAGGUGAAGGGACUUUUCCAAGAAUAAGAAGUAAAUGGCAGAGCCAGGAGGAGAUUCCCACUAUUCUGAUAUUUCCUCCCAACCCCCAACCCUCAAGAUAUCACAAAGUCUCUCAUUAGCUAAGAAGUUUCCAAGUAUAAAUUGUGAAAUCUUGUAUUUUAAUCUUACUUUCUUUCAUAUGGGUAACAGAUCCUAGGGAAUAGUCCUUUAAAUUGUCUUUUCCAUCUGUAAAAAGUUUACUCUACAAAAUCUUUAUGUAUAGAUCAGUCACUAUUUACCAAAGUUUUGGAAUACAUAAACCAACUAGGAAAAGCUUAGUUAAAUAUAAUUAAAAUUCUUUUGGGCUGUGAUUAUCUGAAAAAUGGCACCAUUUUCUAAAAAUAGUGUUUUGCCUUUAGGCAUUAAUUUGAUUUAAACAUUUAGAAUCACCUUUAAUUAUACACACACACAUACAGAGAGAGAGAGAGGGAGAGAGAGAGAGAGAGAGAGUGUGUGUGUGUGUGUGUGUGUGUGUGUAAUCACCAAGUUCCCUAGAGUUCCACAGAACAUGAAUAAACAUAUGGACUGUUCUCUUACACCUACUCCACAAGUCUGAGUAUUGAGGAUUUAUAUAGUUAGAGACUAUGUGGUGUAAAUAUGUAUAAAUUUAUAUUGUGUUAAUUUAUGGCAUGCGGUACAGAAGGCUGUUUGCAAGUUGCAGUGUACUUCUUCCCACGUUUAUGCUGAAAUAUCAUUUCUGGGUUCCUUCCCCAUGUUUUCCUUUGUCUCCCCACAGAUGUUUGGGCAGCUUGUUUUCAGGGGAGUGAAUACAUCUUGGAAGUAUGCUUGCGGAAUGCAAUUCAGGUGAAGAAUGCACUAUCUCUAUUGGGAUUUGGCUGAAGGAUAUUCCCCCUUCGCCUUAUGUCCUGCCCGCUUCUGUUAUGAAGACAAUUGCUCCAGGGUAGCCACACUCUUGGGGGCUGCCAUUUCCUGGCCUGGGUGUCCUCAAGGUCCAUAGAGCGGUUCUAAGUAGGUGAGUGGCAUUUCAUUAUUUGUAAAAGGAAAAAGAAAAAAACAAAACCCUACACAUCAAAAUUCCUUUAUGGCUGUUUGCCAAAGAAGCUGAGUUUUUACUAGAGGGGCUCCGAGAGAGUCCACCUCUAGUUAUCUGUGGUUCUGUUGAAGGGGAAAGAGCGGUCAUAGAUGAAUGAAGUUCACAGAGUGCUUACAAACCACAGCUUAUUUAACCUGCUCUUUCACCGGUGUAAAUUGUUAAAAAGUACUCAUAUCGACUUAUUUGACUUAAUCAAUCUUCUUUCCUGGUCCUCCCAUGGGGAGGUGUGCUAAUGGGUAACGGAGAUUGAGAAGGAGGCAGUGGGCAGGAAGAGGAAGGAAAACAGAGCCCCAAACUGAGUCGACAGCCCCUGAAUGAAUAAAAAUCUGGCAGCGGAUGGAGAGGGGUUUGACUCAUCCAUGAAUGCUCUAGCACGAGGCUACUGCUUUCACAGACACUGUCUGUUUCUCCAAAUUUAGGGGAAAUUAGUGAGGAAACUAUUUUUAGACUGUUUACUUCUCCUCUGCCCUUACAAUGGCGCUGCUUAUGAAAUUUGAGGACAGACCUAUUGAGAGACUAAUGGAGUCAUCUGCCAUAGAGAUUAGACAAGGAUUUAUGGAUCAAAAGAAUUGCUCUGCAGGUUUCUUUUAAGCACUAUGAAUUCACCAGCCCUUGCAAUGACCCAACAAUGGCAAACUAACAUUUGUGCAGUCCUUUAAUAUUUUAACACUUAAAAAAUAUGUACAUGUAUAUAUAUAUAUAUAUGUAUGUGUAUGUGUAUAUAUAUACAUACUUUGCCACAUCAACUCUUUGCAACUGUCUGGUAAGGUUCAAACUUUUCAGCAGAGAAAGAAAGGAAAUUAUAAGUGAGUGUCCUAAGGUCACAUACUUGGAAAAUGUCAUUGGUGUAAUUCAAACCCUAAUCAUCUUUCCAACAUAAAGGUGCUGAGUGGUUGCACUUGAGCAUUGUGAGUUGGGUGAAAAACCAAGUCUAAAAUAUUUACUGAAAUCUAAGUUUUGCCAGCUUAUCUGGUACUCUUGCCUUUUUCUCCAUUGUCUUGCACUUCUCUGGACUUUAUUAUUCAACUUUGGCCACACCCAGUGAAAAUGCAGGUAUACACGUUCAGUUGGGAAAGAAUUUUCACACCAGGGAGUCAUACAAAAAUGACAAAAACGUGUUUGGGUGGAUUUUGGUCCAAGAGUUGUUUAAAUGCCGGAGUAGAGUUUGAAAUUUCAGUAGUGAGAAGCCAUAGAAAGAUUAUAGAAAUAAUGAACACCUUCUAAGAAUUUAUAAUUUACAAAACUCUUCGCCUACAAUUUUUCGGUGAGUUCUCCUAACCAUCCUUUAAGGAAGAAGUAGUAUUUUGAUCCCAAUGUUACUUUUCAGGAAGUUGCGGCUUGGAGAAGGUGUGAUUUUACUAGAUUGGGUAGCCAGUCAAUGAUAAAACUCAAUCUGUAAGCCAAGUAGUAAGUAGUGCUUUCAAAGCUUUGAUCAGGGAAUGGCUUACAGAAUGUAGAAUGUAUUCAAAGGAGGGGAAACAUUUAGAAGCUAUUGCAGAAACCCAUGGUGUGGAAUUUUUUAAGUUAGAAAUCUGAAUGCAAACAUCAGCUCUCAGGGCCAUGAUGCGGAUUGUUGUUAUUCUCAGUGUGAUGGAAGCAAAGCGAUGGUCUCUGGAUCUAAAAACAGGUUAAACGCAGGCAUGUGUCUUUCUCUUCAUCUGACAGAUAGAUGAGUAAUUGAUUUCAUUUACCAAACAGGCUGAGCACAACGUAAAAUCAUGCUACUCAUCUAAACUGAAAAAAUUCUCUAUUUUCCAGAAUAGUCUCAGAGCACCAUGUGUGAGAGAACACGACAGAAUAGAAACUGAUUAUGCAAAAUGUGCGAGAGAGAACUGCAGCUCUUGGUGACAUGUGGCAGCCUCAUUGGGAAGGGAGUGCUGUGUAACUCUGGGUGCUGUCUCUGAUGGCCACGUGUCACAAGCUGAAUGGCAAAAGGGGGGUUAAAAACUGAGUUUGUGAAUUGUUGCAUGUAGUCCUCUGAGACAUUCACGUGCCAUGCACACAUGCAAGGAGGUAUCCUGAGAGGCCACUCUCAGCAGCAACACUCACCCACACAGAGGAGGUUAUGCGGGACCAGCAAGAGAUGGCGAAACACUUGGGGAUAGUAUGAGCAGGUAGCUGUUACCAACUCCUAGGUCUGCAGAGGUAAGGAAAAGAAAAAUAGAUAAUUAUAGAAGCGCUUCCUGCCAGGAGCUGCAGCCUUCAAGAGAAGCACACAGCUGUGCCAAUCCAUGGCCCUACAGGAAGGGCACCAGGGAAGUAGAUAGAGUGGGCUCUUUCCUCCCACACUUCCAUCUCCUGCCAGAGCCUCAUGGGCUGAACCCAACUGAGACCCAGAGGAAGAGGAAACCCAGCUGAAGCCCAUAGAAGAAAGUCUCUGAGCCAUCAAGCAGAGUGGAGAAAGCUGGAAAAUAAACCUCAGGAGGAACCAGAGAAUAUUUAGGGCAGAUGACAGUAGUACUUUUAUUUACUAAUAUUUACAUAAAAGGUGCAAAAAUGUAAAUAUCAGCACCACAUUUUUCCAAUAGUUUUCUAUAAGACAAUUGUUUCACUAAAGGUUUGUUGGGAAAGGGAUUCUGUGUUCAAAUAAAUUUGGCCUGUUGUGUAUUUUCUGCUGUUGUAGCCUAAAAUUCAUUAACAUAUUAAAAAUUAUAAGAACUACAGUGAGAAGGCUGUUUAAUUCAUCCUGAAUUUCCCAAACAUAUUUAAUGGCACAAUUUCUUUGCUGUGAGUAACAGCUCUUAAUACCCCCAUGAAACUUUGGGAAAUAACAUAUGAACAGAUUUGAGACUAUGAUACAUACUUUACAAAUCACAACUGAUGAAAAAUUUAUAAUAAAAAGAUUUUAAGGUAGUAAUAGCAAGGAGCCCUACAGGAACAGAAAGCUUAAUAUUAGUAACAGAUGUAAGGUGAGGAUAUCAAUUUUGCCAAUAUAUAAAGGACAAAACUCCCUCACAGAAAUACAAAGAUUCUAAAAAUAAAAAAAAGAAAAUCCAGAAGAAUUAUUGUCUUCUAUAAGUACAUUUAAAACUAAAGAAGGUUAAAAGUAAAAGUUUGGAAAUCACAUGUAAGGAAGUCUUACUUUGAAAUAUACAAAUGUACUUUUCCUUUGAAUUUGCCUCCUGGCUGGGCAUAGAGAGGGCAAGGGGAGGAUGAAAAUAUUAUGACUGAAAUGCAAGAAGAAAGAGUUGGCUGGGCACAGUGGCUCAUGCCUGUAAUCCCAGCACUUUGGGAGGCCAAGGUGGGUGGAUUGCUUGAGCUUAGGUGUUCAAGACCAGCCUGGACAACAUAGUGAAACCCUGUCUCUACCAAAAAUACAAAAAAUUAGCAGGGCAUGAUGGCGUACACCUGUGGCCCCAGCUAUUUGGGAGGCAGAGGUGGGAGGAUGGCUUGAUCCCGGAGGUGGAGGCUGCAGUGAGCAAGAUCAUGCCACUGUACUCCAGCCUGGAUGACAGAGGGGGACUCCCAUCUUUAAAAAAAAAAAAAAAGAGUUAAUAUUCAAUUUCUGAGAUGUGAAUCUAGAAAGCCAGGCUAUAGAGGAAAAAUGAUUACAAUUUUUUUAAAAUCCCUCUUCUACAUAAUAAGAGGUGGACCUGGUGGAUCAGUUUUCUUUAUGCUUUGGGCCUAUAGAAGAAGCACAUGACAAAGAAGAGGUGAAAAACCCAAAUCCCGUCUCUUUCAGCUCCCCCAGAAUAGUGAGAAAAUAAGGGAGCCAGAGUAGGAGAAAUGGGCAGUCAGAUAUAUUUCCUGAUCCCCAGGCUCAGCUUUCAGUUUGAGAAGGGAUGUUAGGCAGGUUAAGGAAAAUGCUGAUUGCAGAUCACCUUGACCCACUUCCCUUUCACGAUGGCAAAAGGUGACCAUUCACUGUUCCCACAAGCUGAAGGUGACACAUGAAACUAAAUUCAGUGACGUCAUAUGGUUAGGCAGAUAAAGGAUCUUGGUUUAGUCCCACAGGGUUGCUCAAGUUGUGGACAGAAUAAAGAAUUUCUAGUGUGCCUUGCAGAGAGAUGUCAAAGGUAGCUAAGAGUGUUGUCUGAAGAGCUUGCCUGUAUGGGUUUUUGUGCAGUGGCCCUAUACGUGAAGGUUGUGGGGAAGAUGGGUCAAUCUGGAGGAAGAAUGAGUGAGUCUUAGCCAGAACACAGGGUUUCCCUGGGCCAAUGACCACUGAGAUAAAGCCUGGUCAUCAAGAAGAGAUAGCCAUUGCUCCAUAGACCACAUUGCUUCAGCUCUAGGAAAAUAGCCAGGAAUGGGACUAUUGAGUCUCUGUUCACUAGUUCUGGCUGGUGGCCAGUAAGAAUACAUAGGUCACUUGGUUCAUACUUAAUCAUUCCUCUGCAACCACAGGGAUGAGGAAGACACACACACCAUUGCCCCCCAAAUCAGAUAUCAUCUUGGAGACAAGUUGGAGGAACUUAGUGACUAACUGUCCAAGUUUGUCUGGGACUUAGUGGUUUUCCGGUGUGCAGGACUUGUAAUGUGAAAACUGGAAAACUUUUAGGAAAACCAGUAUAAAUUGGUCACCCUAGGAGGAUGGCAGAACUUUGAAAUACUUGAUGUUAUUUUCUCAUCUAAGCAGAAAUUGUGCUACUUACAGAGACAAUUUAAACUGAUGCAUUGGAAUGAUUCAUCCAAAUUGGGAUAAAAUUUAUUCCCUGAUCCUCCCUCUCUUCCACAGCUCUUCAGCACUGUGAGAUCAGAGCAAUUACAGACCAAUUUUAUUACACAUCUGAAUGUAAUGAGAUAUAUCAUGCAAAAGAAAAACCAUCACCACAAUAAAAAAACUAAAUAAACAGCACAACACAAAAUAUAGUAGAACUUCUGCUUCUGCUUAUGAAGGAAUAACUGCUCUAGAAUUAAGCAACUGUUUUCAGACAUUAGACAACAGAGGGUGCAGGACUGUGAUCUCUAGAGCAGAAAAAUAAAUGAGCAUGUCCUAUGAUUCCUGCAGUUUCUCACCUGGAGGCAGUUUCCUGGCCAUAGCACAGGGAGGGGAAACCCAAACAUAAGCCAGCAGUCGUGUUGAGUUAAGAAAGACAGAGACUGACAUUCAGGAAGCAUAAGGCAGCCAAAAUAAAUGGUACAAAUACUGAUGGAGAAGGAGAGAGAGAAAGAGAAAGAGAGGAGAGAAAGAGAGAUAGGUGUGCAGAAAGAUACCCUUGAUUUUUUGGCAGAAAAAAAAUUUUGGAAAAGAACUUCCAGAAUGGAGGCUGAAAAAAUUCCCAAGCUCACGUGAGACUGGAAAUAGAUCACAUCGCCACCAGUCAAAGAGGAGAGAGUUUGUAAUAAAUGGGUAUUGGGUAUAAAAUUCAGAAAGGGCUCUCCCUAGUAGUGGGGCUAAAUUAGUCAUAGACAAACUGUUUUUCUGGCCUUGUCCUAGCAAAGGUUAAAAGCAAAGCUUUGAUAGGAUCAAACUGAUUUGAAGUUACAUAACUGCAUUCCAGAACAAAGUCCCAUGCUAAAUGAAUACAGUAUAAUCCAGCAUCCGAUAAUGUGAAGUUCACAAUGUCUAGUAUUCAAUAAAAAUAUUAACAGGUAUGAAAAGUGGCAGGAAAAUAUAGAACUUGUAACAAAAGAAACAAUCAAUAGAAAGAAAACAUUUCAGAAAUAACAGAGAUGCUGAAACUAGCAGACAAAGACCUUAAAGCAGCUAUUAUAAAUAUGGUCAAUGGUAGCCAGGCGCAGUGGCUCAUGCCUGUAAUCUCAGCACUUUGGGAGGCCGAGGUGGGUGGAUCGCUUGAGCCAAGGAGUUCAAGACCAGCCUGAGCAAUGUGACAAAACCCUGUCUCUACAAAAAAUACAACAAUUAGCUGGGCGUGGUGGCAUGUGCCUGUAGUCCCGGCUACUCAGGAAGCUGAGGUGAGAGGACUGCUUGAGCCCAGGAAGUUGAGGCUACAGUGAGCCAUGAUUGUGCCACUACAAUCCAGCCUGGGUGACAAAGUGAGACUCUGUCUCAAAGAGAAAACCCCAAAACAAACAACAACAACAACAACAACAACAAACUAUGGUCAAGGAUAUCAACAUAAUGAGAAAAGAAAUGAAAGAUUUAAAAAAUAAAAAACUAAAUUGAACCUCUAAACAUGGAAAACACUAUACCUGAAAUGAAAACUACAGCAAACAGGAUCAACAGCAGAUUGGACAUUGCAAUGAACUGGAAAACGUAGCAAUAUAAAUGCCUCAAAAUAAAACAAAUUAUUUUUAAAGCCUGAAAAAAAUAGAGUGUCUUGGCUCAUUUUUGUUGCUAUAAUAGAAUACCUGUGACUGGGUAAUUUAUAACAAAAAGAAGUUUAGUUGGCUCACAGUUCUGGAGGCUGAGAAAUUCAAGGGCAUGUAGGCAGCUUCUGGUGAGGGCUUCGCACUAUGACAUAACAUGAUGGAAGAGCAGAAGGGCAAGCAAGCACAUGCACAAGAGCUCACUAGAGCAAUCUGAGCUUGCUUUUACAAAAACCUGUUCUCUUAGAACUAACUCACCCUUUUUUGUUUUGAGACGGAGUCUCACUCUGUUGCCCAGACUGGAGUACGGUGGCCUGAUCUUGGCUCAUUGCAACCUCCGCCUCCCGGGUUCAAGCAAUUCUCCUGCCCCAGCCUCCUGAGUAGGUGGGAUUACAGGCACCUGCCAUGAUGCCCAGCUAAUUUUUUGUAUUUUUAGUAGUGAUGGGUUUUCACCAUGUUGGCCAGGCUGGUCUUGAACUCCCAACCUCAAGGGAUCCACCCACCUCAGCCUCCUAAAGUGCUGGGAUUAUAGGUGUGAGCCACCGCGCUGGCCAAGCCACCCUUUCAGUAACCACACUGAUCCAUUCAUAAGGAACGGGUUUGCUCUCAUGACUCAAUCACCUCUUAAAGGCUCCACUUUGUAAUAGUGUUACAUUGACAAUUAAGUUUUCAACACAUAAGCUUUUCAGGAACACAUUCAAACCAUAGCACAGAGUACUAGUAACCUGUAGGAAAAUAUCAAGAAUUUUGACAUACAUGUAAUUGGAGUCCCAGAGGAGAAGAAAGAAGGAAAAGCAGAAUAUUUAAGGAAUGUUGGGUAAAUCUUUUAAAACUUGAUGACAGACAUAAACUCAUAGAUCCUAGAAGCUCAGUGAACCCAACAAGAAAUAUAAGACCACACCAGGGCACAUUAUAAACAAAUUGUUUAAAACCAGUUAUGAAAAGAAAAUAAUAAAGGCAACAAGAGGAAUAAAAACACAUUAUGUGCAGAAGCAGCAAGAUAAGGAUGACAUCAGCCUUCUUGUUGAAAAUAAUGCAAGGUAAAUGAUAGUGAGGCAAUAUCUUGAAAGUAUGGAAAGAAAAAUCUGUUGGCCUAGAAUUCUGCACUGUGCAAAAUAUCUUUCAAAAAUGAAGACAAAAUAAAGGCUUUUUCACAAAAACAACAGCUAAGAGACCUCAUUGCCAAAAAAGCUACACUAUAGAAUUUUAAAGAAAGUUAUUUAGGCAGAAGAAAAAUAAUAUUAGAUGUAAAUUUGGAUCCAUAUACAAAAACAAAGGAAUGAAAAGUGCCGGAAAUGAAAAAUAUGUGGGUAAGUACAAAAGUCAAUGUUUUAUUAUUUUAAAGUCUCUCUAAAAGAUAAUUGCUUAAAGCAAAAUUAAUAAAAAAUACAUAUUGGGGCAUAACAUAUGGAAAUCAAAUGCAUGAUAACUGUAGUAUAAAGGACAGGAGGGUAGAAAUGAAAGUGUACCAUUGUGAGUACUAGUGCGAGGCUCUUAAAUUAUACUUAAAGUGGUAUAUUAUUUGAAGAUAGACUAUGGUAAGUUAAAAAUGUUAUCUUAUAAAUCUUGGAGUAAGCACUAAAAAAUAAAGGAGAAUAGCAAUAGUGGAGAUUGAGUGGAAUCCUGAAAAAUACUCACAUCAAAAGAAGGCAGGAAAAAGAAAAAAGUAACCAAAAUAUAUGAGACAAAGAGAAAAUAAGCAGCAAAAUGUAGCUUUAAACCCAAUAAAAUAAAAAAUUACAUUAAACUUAAAUGACCUAAACAUUCCAAUUAAAAGGCAGAGAUUGUCAGACUAGAUGAGAAAGUGAGACACAAAUACAGUAUAUAGAUAAGAAAUUCAUUUAAAUAUAAAGAAGGGUAUUAUUUCAGUUACUUAGUAAUAAAUGCAGUGAGUGGGCUUGACUUUACAGUUAGACUCCAUUAUCGUCAUCAUUGUCCUCAAGGAGGUAGUCCUCUGCAACCAAAUAGAAAUUAAUUUUAGUUAAUUAAUUUUAGUUGGCUACAAACAACUAACUCAGCCAACUCGUGCCAACACAAAAAAAGACACUUUGUCUUUUUUGGAAAGACACAAAGGUACUUCAUGAAACUGUGACUCCCCCUGAGAAACAGAACUAGGAGCUGUAAUGUCAGGAGUGUCUCUCAGUUUCUUUAUGGCCCCUUAGUCCCCACCCCUCCCAAAGUGCUUGGAUUAUAGGCUGUGCCCAGCCUGUAUAUAGGAUUUUAUUGUACAAAUACACUGUAGUUCUUCCGUUCUACUUUUGAUAGACAGAUGAGUUGCUUUCAGUUUGGGACACUGCGAACCCUGGGGUUAUGAAUGGUAUUGCACAUAUAUCCUAAAGCACAGGUUUCACGAAUUUUUCAAGGGUGUUAAAUCUAGAAGUGACUUGCUUGGCCACAGAAAGUAUCUUUAAUUUUACUAGAUACUGCCAAACUGCUUUCCAAAGUGGUUCUACCAAAGUGGUUUACUGGAUACUGGCAAACUAUUUCCCAUCAAUAUUUCAGGAGAUUUACUGUACUAGUAACUCCAUAACAUCACUAGUACUUAGUCUUGUCAGACUUGUUAAGUUUUGCCAAUCCGGUGGAUGUGUAGAAGCCUGUGGGCUGAAUUUGCAUUCCAUUAUUUUCUAAUGAGGUUGAGCACCUUUUCAUUGUUUUUCAGCAUGUAUGUUUCCUCUUUUGUAGAGUGCCUUUUCAAGAGCUCUCUUUCUUUUGGGGCUUUGUAGUGUACCUUUUCAAUGUCUCUCUUUCAACUGGAGUUUGUGUCUUUCUUACUGAUUUGAUGAAAUAUCCUAGAAACAAGUUAUUUAUCCAGUAUUGCAAAUACCUCUUAUUCUCUGGCUUUUCUCUUCCCUUUCUUCCUUUUUUUUUUUUUUUGAGACAGAGUCUCACUCUGUCGCCCAGGCUAGAGCACAGUGGCACAAUCUCGGCUCACUGCAACUUCUGCCUCCCAGGUUCAUGCCAUUCUCCUGCCUCAGCCUCCGGAGUAGCUGGAACUACAGGCGCCCACCACCACACCCAGCAAAAUUUUUCCAUUUUAGUAGAGACAGAGUUUCAGCAUGUUAGCCAGGAUGGUCUCCAUCUCCUGACCUCGUGAUCCACCCACCUCGGCCUCCCAAAGUGCUGGGAUUACAGGCGUGAGCCACUGCGUCUGGCCUCUGUUCCCUUUCUUUAUAGAGUUUUUUAAUGAACAGUUCUUCAUUUAAAUAUGGAUAAGUUUAUCAGUUUUUUCCUUUAUUCUACUUCAUGUAUCUGGUUUAAAAUAUUUUUCUUUUUAUUUUAUUCUAUUCAAUUUUUAUAAAAAAGAGUCAAGGUAUUGCUGUGUUGCCUAGGCUGGUCUCAAACUCUGGGACUCAAGUGACCCUCCUGCCUCAGCCUCCUGAGUGGCUGGUACUACACUGACAUGCCACCAUGCCUGGGCAACAUUUUUUUCUAUAUAUUCUAAAAUAUUAUCCUAGCCUAUCCUGUGUAUAUUUUCCAAUCUAUACUGCCAUCUUAAAAGAUUAUACUUUUGGCCAGGUGCGGUGGCUCACGCCUGUAAUCCCAGCACUUUGGGAGGCCUAGGUGGGUGGAUCAUUUGAGGUCAGGAGUUUGAGAUCAGCCUGACCAAUAUGGUGAAACCCCAUCUCUACUAAAAUACAAAAAAUUAGCGGGGCCUGGUGGCGCAUGCCUGUAGUUAUAGCUACUCCGGAGGCUGAGACAGGAGAAUCGCUUGAACCUGAGAGGCAGAUGCUGCGGUGAGCCGAGAUCACACCACUGCACUCCAGCCUGGGCAAUAGAGCAAGACUCUGUGUCAAAAAAAAAAAAAAAGAAGAUUAUACUUUUGCUUAUUUUUAGAUCUAUAAUUCUUUUUGUGUUGAUUUUUGUGUAAGAAUGUGAGAUAUGGGUCCAAUUCUGUGCAAUUAGCAUUAUUUGUAAAGGGCAAUAUUUGUAAAGGGAGUCAAGACUCUCCUUUCUCACUAUUCUCCAGUGUCAUUUCUGACAUCAGCCAAGUGUCUAUAUGUGUGCAAUCUGUCUCCCGGCUCUCUUUUUUGUUCCACUAGUCUUGCAUCGAUACCAUUUAAUUAACACAGCUUCUUAAGUUUAGAUAUUUUGUAGAGAAAAGAAAGACUCUCAUCUUUUUCUUCUCCAGGAGAGUUUUGUUAUUCUUGGCCUUUGUUAUGUUCCCAUAAAAGUUAUUUUACUUUUUUGUCCAAUAUCACACAGAAAAACACAUGGGGAGCAAGUGGUCUUUAGAGUUUAAUUGGAAUUGUAUAGCUUUAUAGAUCAAUAUGAAGAAAAAUGACAUUUUUAUAAUAUAUAGUUUUCUUACCCAUGUACAUCAUUGUAAAUAUUUCAAUUUAACUCUUAUUUUUAAAAUGUUUUAAAAUUUUCUCUGCAGAGUUGUUUUGUUAAAUAUAUUCCUAAGUAACAGAUAUCCCUGAUGAUGAUAUAAACGUUAUAUAUUCAUUAAUUUUAUUACCUGUUUGUUGCUUUUAUAGAGAAAUACAGUUGCUUUUUCAAUUUUGAUUUUAUAUCCUCCAGUAUUUCUAAGCUCACUUAUUGAUUCCAAUAAUUCAUCUAAAGAUUCUUUUGAAUAUUCAUACACAUUAAUAUAAAAUUAAUUAUAUCAUCUGUGAAAAAUAAUAAUUUGCUUAUCCCAUUCCUAUCCUUAUAGCAUUUGCUUUUCCUUACUGAUUGGCAGGACCUCCAGUACAACACUGAAUAGCCUUGGUAACAGUGGUCACCUUUGCUUGCUUAAUGCCUCUUCCAUACUUUAACAUACUACUUUUUUAUAUCUUUAUGUUUUAUAUUUCUCUUAUAAUGAUUAUAUCCUUGACUUUGACUUUUUUCCUGUCUGACAAUUUCUUAAUCUCUUAAUUGAAGCAUUUAGUCCAUUUACUUUUUUUUUUUUUUUUUUUUUUUUUUUUUGAGACAGAGUCUUUCUCUGUCACCCUGGCUGGAGGGCAGUGGUGAGAGUUCGGCUCACUGCAACCUCCACUUCCCAGGUUCAAGCGAUUCUCCUGCCUUAGCCUCCCAAGUAGCUGGGAUUACAGGUGUCCGCCACAGUGCUCAGCUAAUUUUUGUGUAUUUUUAGUAGAGACAAAUUUUCACCAUGUUGUUCAGGCUAGUUUUGACCUCCUGGCCUCGAGUGAUCUGCCUGCCUCGGCCUUCCAAAGUGUUAGGAUUACAGGCAUGAGCCACCGUGUCCGACCCCAUUUACAUUUAAUGUAAUUACUCAUGUACUUUGGUUUGAGUUUAAUUCACCAUUUUAUUAUGUUCUUUCUACUUGUGUCACCUGUUUUAUUUUCUUUUUUCUUAUUUACUUGAUUAAUUUUAUUUUCUGCAUUAUUUCAUUUUCCUCCCAACUAUCACUUUCUGUUAUUUUAAUAUUUCCCUAGAAAUUACAGUAAGGACCACAAUAUUCCAAAAUCAAAUGUUAAAUUAGUAGAUUUCACUUCUUUCUAAAAAGUACAAGAAUCUUAGAACACUUCAGUUUCAUUUGUUUAUCCCCAACAUAUACGCUAUUGUUGCUGUGUGUAUUAAUUAUAUAUUUAUAUGUGUGGGUGAAACUUUCACAAAAUAAAGUUCAUGGCCAUUUCUUCCAGCUCAGCAACUGCCUUCAAAGCUAAAGUAUCUUUGAGUAUUACACUUAUUUUCUAUAUUUCUGGGGUUUUGCCUUCUGUAUUUGGUCUGAAAUUUUCUCAUUCUGUUUUUAGGUGUUUAAAUCUUUUCUGAAUGAAUAACUAACAUUCCAUUAGGAGACAAUCAAAUUAGUCUAAGUGAAAGAUUAUAAGACCUUGAACAAAAGUAGUGACAAUGUGGAUGCAAUGACAAGGAAAUAUUUAAGAAAAACUAAUGAAGGACUGGUUUUAGUUCCUGAGUUCCUGUGAAAGAUGCAAGACAAAUGUUCCUUCUAUAAUCAUCUAUAUCUCAAAUACUUCCAAAACUUUAAUGCCAGGAAAAAUUUCUUUCCAUUCUAAUUUGUGUGUUUUUCUCCCCUCAGGUUAAAAAGUAAAUAAUUCUCACUCUCUGUAGGUAGCUAGGGGCACAAUUUAAUGCUCAGUCAUAGCACUGACUUAGCUUCUGUGUCUUACUUAGCCACUUUGUAUUUCAGAAUGGCUUUUAAUUGCCUUAUGCAUGUUUAAGUAAUGUUUUAUGUAUUUUUAACAUUUAAACUUUCUUAAUCAUUUUUGAAAAUAAGAAAAAUAAUAAAUUUGGGGGUAGAUUGGUUAAUAAAAUUAAGGUAGUUUCAAAUAUUUCUCUUAUUAAGAGAUGUAAUUUUAUGACUCAUUCAAGCAAAAUAAGUAUUAUAUAAAUAUAGUUACAUGAAUUUGGGGGAAUCAUUAUAUAAUUUUUAAUUUAAUUUUUAUUUUAUCCUCAGCUCCACUGCUCUCCACCUCUGAGUUCUAGUCACCUGAGGAGAUAAUCACAUUCAAUCCUUUUAACAUUCUUUUUUAUAUUUACAAUAACAUUUAAAAAUAAGUGGUUUAUGUGUUUGUCUGUUUUCACGCUGCUGAUAAAGACAUACCCGAGACUGGGUAUUUUACAAAAGAAAGAGGUUUGAUGGACUUAUAGUUCCACGUGGCUGGGGAAGCCUCACAAUCAUGACACAAGGCAAGGAGGAGCAAGUGAAGUCUUACAGCAGGCAAAGAGAGAACUUCUGCAGCGAAACUCCCGUUUUUUAAAACCAUCAGAUCUCGUGAGACUUGCUAUCAAGAGAACAGCACAGGAAGGAUUUGCUUCCAUGAUUCAAUUACCUCCCACCGGGUUCCUCCCAUGACACGCGGGAAUCGUGGGAGUUACAGUUCAAGAUGAGAUUUGGCUGGGGACACAGCCAAACCAUAUCAGUUGAUAUUACUAUUCAUAAUUUAAAAUUUAACUACUAAUUAUUUUUUUCUUUUAUGGAGAUAAAAAUUUAACCCUCUUACACCCUGUCCCUUAUAUACACAUACACAUAAUACUUCCAAUUUCUUCAACUUCCCAAUAUUAUUAUAAUUAUGAUUAUAAUUAUGUUAAAAUUGUUCAAGCUAAGGCACAAAAGGUGAUAUAAGUAUAUUUACUCUUUUUGAACGACUUUUUGUUUUUUCUAGAAUUUACAGUUGUCCUGUUGUUUUCAUGCACUUUUUUUAUAUACCAUGUUUUCUUCCCCUAAGCACUUCUGUAAAGAUGUAAAAUAAAUCACUUUCUCAUGAGCAAAACACAGGGAACUGAAUCUACUCUGUAUUUUUCUCAUCAGUAUCUCUCCUAGAAUCCAUAACCUCCUGAUUUAAUCCGAAUCUGAAUGUAGCUUUCAUCCUGAGCCUUCUCUUCAUCAUAACACUGGAAAAUCUCUGAUCCUGUUGCCUGGAUUUAUUCUCCUUCUCUUUAUUGCUUUAUUCUCUUGCUUAAAUGGAAUGCAUCCUCCUAUAGCUUCAUGAGAAAGAAUAUGUGAAAAGUUGAUUUUUGAGAACUUGUGUGUUUUCUAAUGUCUUUUCUUUUGAUACUUGAUUAAUAAUACCUUUAUUAUGUAGAAUUCUAGGUUGGACUAAUUUUUCCUGAUAAUUUUCAAGGUAUCAUUGUGUUGUUUUAUAGCUUCCAAUUUCGCUAUUCAAAAAAACAGCUCCAUAUGAUUACUGAUUAUUGGUGUUUGAUCUUCUCUUUUCUCCAGCAGCCUUUAUGGUUUAUUUCUUAUUUUAGGUUCUGAAAUUUUACAAUUAUAUUUUAUUUAAUGUUAGUUUUUUCUUCAUUCAUUUUAGCCAUCAAUGGAACCUUUCAAUCUGCAAAUGAAUGAUCUUCAGUUUUCGACAUUUUUCUUGUAUAACUUAUGUGAUAAUAUCACCCCUUUAAUUUUUCUAUUUUUCUAUUUUACUAGAAUUUUAUUAAUCCAUUUAGGCCCCCUAAUUUUCUUUUCUUUCAUGUUUUUCAUAUUUUUGUGCUUUUAUUGUACUUUCUGAGAGAUUUCCUCAAAUUUACCUUGCAUGUUAUUAUUUUCAAAAAAAUCUUAUUGAUUCAAUGCCCACAAACAUUUGUGGAGUAUUUAUUAUAUUGAAGUUACUAUAUUUAAGGCUGGUUGUGGGGAGAAAAACAAGUAUAAAAAGUCCCUCAAUUCAAAAAACUUAUAAUCUGCAAAUUUAUAAGCAAAUACCUAUAAAAUAAAAGCUAUGGUAAUUUGAGUUAACAAAUCUGAAAGUAAAGAAGGAAGAACUGUUGUAACUAUUAUUCUCAUUUCUCAACCAGAAGUGCAACUAGUGAGAAUAUUAGCAAGUUAAUUAAAAAAAAAUAUUACUAGUGGGCACAGUGGUUCACGCCUGUAAUCCCAGCACUUUGGGAGCAGGAGGCAGGAGGAUCCCUUGAGCCCGGGAGUUUGAGGGCAGCCUUGGCAACAUAGGGAGACCCCAUUUUCUACAAAAAAUAAAAAUAAAAAAUUAGACUGGUGUGGUGAUACAUGCCUGUGGUCCUAGCUAUUCAGAAGGCUGAGGUGGGAAGAUCGCUUGAGCCCAGGAGGUGGAGGCUAUAGUGAGCCAUGAUCAUGCCACUGCACUCCAGCCUGGGCAACAAAUCGAGACCCUGUCAAAACACACACACACACACACACACACACACACACACACACACACACACACACACCAAAUUACUAGUGAUUAUAUUAAGAAAGCAGAUGAAUUUUCUAUUCAGAUUGACACUACUGAAGAUAAAACUUUGAUUGACAUUAUAGUUCAGUAAUUCUAAUGUAUGUCUCAGAGCCCAUGCUAGACAUAAUUAGCAUAAGGUUAAAUUCUGGAGAAAAUACAUCCCAUCCCAUUACAGAAUAUUUUGAGAUCAAAUAAUAGUGCUCUUAAACAAGUGUAGGAUAUUCAACUACUGGCACACUCUACAUGAAGAAAUCACUCAAUUGGUUUUUGUCCUGGUUAAAAAAAGAGUCAUCUAACCAAGGUCACAUAUGGGAUUAUUCACAAGUCUUAAAUCUCGUAAUAGAAUGGAUAAUGGGGACGCAAGAAGGGAUAUUUCACAGUUUUGACUCAAAAUGUCUGAGCAGCAUUUAUAAUAGAGCAACAUAAAAGAAUUGCUAUUUGACACAAACAGCGGGAGACUCUGAUCCACUUUUCUCAGUAUUAUGGAAGCAAGACAGGGUUGGUUCUAGAAAAGGAAGUUGAAAGACAAAGCUGUUUUGCUGUGAGAAAACCCACUCAAGUAAAUAGUGGCUUUUUGUGCCUCAGGGUCUAGAAGGAAAUGCUAACUGAAAUUGUUGGGUGGAUGGGGACAAUGUUUUGUCUGCAGAUAUGAAAGAUGCUCCUCUGCGGGAUAUGCUGGCAUUUGACAUUGCUAAAGAAAGCUUAACUGUUCUGUGACUACUGUUCUUAACUGGAAUCCUUCCAUUUCAAGGACCUCUCAUCACUGGGCCCCAGUCUUGGGAGUAGCUUUGAGAAAGUGGUACAGCACAUAGCUUUGUUGAGUUUUUGUGGUCACAAUCUAUAACAUUGCGUCCGCGUCAUAGCUAACCCAAGUUUUGUCAAGGGAUAAACCUGCACUAGGGCUGUGGACAGCAAAAUGAAGCAUGCUUCUGCAUGUCUAAAAUAAGUGGAUUAGGCAACUCAUUUCAUUGAUUUAACUGAAUCAGACCUCUGUAAAACUGAUCCAAACAGCUAUGUGGCAAUUAGCUGGUUGCACGCCAUAAAAAUUGAGUGGUUCAUGAGUGGUUUGUAUGUUUAAUGGAUUUCUUCCUUCAAAACAUUAUUUUUGUAUCUUAAAAGCUUAACACAGUGUUUGGCACAGCACAGGUGCUCCAUAAACAUUUGUUAAAUGAGUUAGCUCUAAGAAGUCAGACUAAGCAAUUUAGUUCCACUCUUACUACCUGCUGUGCUAAAACUCUCCUUGGCUGAUUACAUAUGACACUUACAAAACCUUUGUUGUUUUUUAUAUUGCAUUUCAUCAGUUCCUAUUAGGUUUAAGGAAAAGAGGUGGAAAUAGUUUUUCGGCAAAUAUUUACGGAAUAUCUACCAUGUUCAAUGCACUGUAGAAUUCUGAGACCAUCUUUGCCCUACAAUAGCUUACAUCCUCAAAGAGGAGAUAAGAGAUAUACACACAAGCACAGUCUCAGAAUUACAGAUCUCUAAUUAAUAAAUUUAUUCACAUGCAAUUGGUAUGCUCCAAAUAUUAUAUAUGGGGUACAAAUCCCCUUUUGCUUAAUGCUUAAUAUUGUUUAAUGUUGAGACUAAAAUGACUCUAGGCCAUCCCUGGCUAUGAGUAACAGGUUUUUUUUUCAGAGUUCACUUUGCUAAGUAUUUCUAGAAAAGUUCUGGGGGUUGCUGUGGUGGUUUAUUUUCAUUUGUCGUUUCUUGAGUAUAUUCUCCUCUUCUAUCUGCCAGCUCUGAGCACCAGGACAUUGACCUCUGCUGGCUGCACUCUUACACCGCUCACGUUCCAUGAUCCAUGGGCUUCUGGUUGGGUUGGGCCAAUGGGAGGCAGUGGCAGGAGAUGGGAGAGGGGAGUGUAGAGAGAAAGAAUGGAGUUUUCACCCCUCUUCCUCCCUGCCUUGGAGCUGUUCUGAGAGCAGCUGCAUAUCUCUCAGCUAUAGGUCCCGUCUGGAGACCCACCGCUCAGCUCACUGGAGGCUAUGGUAGCAUCAUUCAUCCCUUGCCCCUCGUGAUGGUUAAUGCUAUGUGUCAACUCAACUGGGCCACCUAGUGCCUAGAUAAUUGGUCAAACAUUUUUCUGGAUGUGUCUGUGAAGAUGUUUCUGGAUGAGAUUAACAUUUGAAUUGGUAGACUAAGUAAAGCAGAUUGCCCUCCUCAAUGUGGGUGGGCUUCAUCCAGUCAAUUGAUGUCACAAUAGACAAAAAGAUUGAGUAAGAAGGAAUUCCUCCCAUCUGGGUGCUUGCACUGGGACACCAAUCUUCUGCCUCUGGACUCAGACUUGAACUGGAACUUACAUCUUCAUUCUCCUGGGUCUCCAGCUUGCUAACUACAGAUUUUGGGAUUUCUCAAUCUCCAUACUCAUGUUAACCAAUUCCUUAUGAUAAAUCUCAUUCUAUAGAUGAAGAGGUAGGUAGGUAGAUAGAUACACAGACAGACUGACAGACAGACAGAUAGAUAGAUAGACAGACAGAUAGAUAGAUAUAGCUUCCCACUGCUUUCAGCCUCUGGGUGCCUCAGCAUUCCUUGUUUGUUCUCUGGCUGCAUUCUCAUCAUUGUAAAUAGUCCUUCAAAAAAGUUUCUCAAAAUCACAGUUGAAUUUACCAUCUGUUUUCUGCUGGGAGACUCAUACAGUUGCUCAUGAACAUCAAUGAAAAUUCAUGAUGCCAGUUAGGAGGGUACAGGAAUUCAGACACCCUGAGCUCAGAGGCACAUUAAGGCCCACUUCCAAAACUGCUGGCCUCCAGACACUCCCACCCGCAUCUCUAGGUUUGUUCAACAAGGCCCCAUCUCCCUCAUUUGAGUGAAGGUUUGAUGUUGCCUAGAAAAUAAAUAAUUUGGAUAGUUCAUUUACUAUAACAGAAUUCCCCAAUCUGGAGGUGCUGGAGAAUGAAACUGAUAUGUAAAGAUUUGGUUUGACAGUCACGCAUCACUUAACGACAGGGAUGCACUCCGAGAAAUGUGUUGUUAGAUGAUUUUGUCAUUGUGCAAACAUCAUAGACCUAGAUGGUACACAGACCUAGAUGGUAGAGCCUACUACAUACAUAAGCUAGAUGGUAGAGCCCAUCACUCUCAUGCUACAAACUUAGACAGCAUAUUACUGAACUGAAUACUGUAGGCAAUUGGAACACAAUAGUAAGUAUUUGAGUAUCUAAACAUACCUAAACAGAGAAACAGUACACUAAAAUACAGUAUAAAAGAUUAAACAAUGGUACACCUGUAAAGGGCACUUACUAUGAAUGGAGCUUGCAAGACUGGAAGUUGCUCUGGGUGAGUCAGUGAGUGAGUGGUGAGUGAAUGGGAAGGCCUGGGAUGUCACUGUACACUACAGUAGACUUUAUAAAUGCUGUACACUUUGGCUACACUAAAUUUAGAAAAAAUUUUCUUUUUUCAGUAAUAAAUUAGCCAUAGCUUACUAUAACAUUUUUACGUUAUACACUUUUUAAUGUUUUUAACUUUUUGACUCUCUUGUAAUAACACUUAGCUUAAAACACACAUGUUAUAUAGCUGUACAAAAAUGUUUUCUUUAUGUCCUUAUUCUAUAAGUUUUUUUCUAUUAAAAAAUUUUUAAACAUACGUGUGCAUGUGUCUUUGUAGUAGAAUGAUUUAUAAUCCUUUGGGUAUACACCCAGUAAUGGGAUUGCUGGGUCAAAUGGUAUUUCUAGUUCUAGAUCCUUGAGGAAUCACCACACUGUCUUCCACAAUGGUUGAACUAAUUGACACUCCCACCAACAGUGUAAAAGUGUUCCUGUUUCUCCACAUCCUCUCCAGCAUCUGUUGUUUCCUGACUUUUUAAUGAUCGCCAUUCUAACUGGCAUGAGAUGGUAUCUCUUUGUGGUUUUGAUUUGCAUUUCUCUGAUGACCGGUGAUAAUGAGCUUUUUUCCGUGUGUUUGUUGGCUGCAUAAAUAUCUUCUUUUGAAAAGUGUCUGUUCAUAUCCUUCACCCACUUUUUGAUGGGGUAUGUUUAUUGCAGCACUAUUCACAAUAGCAAAGACUUGGAACCAACUCAAAUGCCCAUCAAUGUUAGACUUUGGAUAAAGAAAAUGUGGCACAUAUACAUCAUGGAAUACUAUGCAGCCAUUAAAAAGAAUGAGUUCAUGUCCUUUGCAGGGACAUGGAUGAAGCUGGAAACCAUCAUUCUCAGCAAACUAACACAGGAACAGAAAACCAAACACCGCAUGUUCUCACUUAUAAGUGGGAGUUGCACAAUGAGAACAUAUGGCCACAGGGAGGGGAACAUCACACACCGGGC
RNAcentral lists this long non-coding RNA (21088 nucleotides) under Homo sapiens (human). Its description in RNAcentral is "HSALNT0102001". The record is from RNAcentral. Lineage: Eukaryota; Metazoa; Chordata; Mammalia; Primates; Hominidae.